AAAAAGGGUGCUCGCUACUACUCUCAAUAGCGCGUCGAAGUGCUUGGAUUUCCUGGUGCUUCGGUGGGGUAUGGCUAUCAAGACAUAUCCAGCACAUAAUUUUUGUGAACAAGGGGCUGUUGGCUGCUAUUUUCGCGCGGACGCUCCU
Hermetia illucens (black soldier fly) is the source of this 148-nucleotide small nuclear RNA. RefSeq annotates it as U11 spliceosomal RNA. NCBI's taxonomy places the organism in Eukaryota, Metazoa, Arthropoda, Insecta, Diptera, Stratiomyidae. The transcript has a single exon. The record is from RefSeq and is a predicted model, not a curated record.